This 488-nucleotide ribosomal RNA is filed under the name uncultured bacterium. Its description in RNAcentral is "partial 16S ribosomal RNA". It matches the Rfam family "Bacterial small subunit ribosomal RNA", at positions 30 to 507 of the family's 1533-position model. The record is from RNAcentral.
UGAACGCUGGCGGCAGGCCUAACACAUGCAAGUCGAACGGUAACAGGAAACAGCUUGCUGUUUCGCUGACGAGUGGCGGACGGGUGAGUAAUGUCUGGGAAACUGCCUGAUGGAGGGGGAUAACUACUGGAAACGGUAGCUAAUACCGCAUAACGUCGCAAGACCAAAGAGGGGGACCUUCGGGCCUCUUGCCCUCGGAUGUGCCCAGAUGGGAUUAGCUAGUAGGUGGGGUAACGGCUCACCUAGGCGACGAUCCCUAGCUGGUCUGAGAGGAUGACCAGCCACACUGGAACUGAGACACGGUCCAGACUCCUACGGGAGGCAGCAGUGGGGAAUAUUGCACAAUGGGCGCAAGCCUGAUGCAGCCAUGCCGCGUGUAUGAAGAAGGCCUUCGGGUUGUAAAGUACUUUCAGCGGGGAUGAAGGGAGUAAAGUUAAUACCUUUGCUCAUUGACGUUACCCGCAGAAGAAGCACCGGCUAACUCCGUG